AUGAGGGGUGAAGCGUUGAAGGUAGGCCUAACAAAUAGGCUUAGUGUACUACCAUGCACUACGUUUGUUUUGUAAGAUAAAGAAGAAAAUUAUUCAUUUUGAGAUAUUAUUUUUCAAAUCUUAGCUCGUAUAAUAACAAGUAGGAAGUUUAGUAUGGUUGUGGAAUUAGAAGAUUAUGCAUCUGUCGCCUUAACGUCACAAGAACUUGGAAUUUUGGCAGACAUUGAUAGCCGACAUUUUGGUUUUCUAAAACUUAAUCUCCCUGAAAAUGUAAAAAGGAAAGCAUUAAUAAACAAGGCAGUGAAAUACUUGGAACGGGUUUUAAUACAUCAUCACCAGUUCAAGGAAAAAGAACGACUGCUUGCUAACAAACAGCAAAAUGCCAAACAAGAGGGGGGAAAAGUACCUGGACAACCUGAUCAAAAGAAUGAACAGACAAUUUCAAAAGCAAAAGAGUUAGAUCCUCGAACAUAUUGUAAACUAGGUCAUUUUCUGCUUUUGCUUGAAGAUUAUGCCAAAGCUAUGUCUGCAUAUCAAAAGUUCUACGCUUCAAAAGAAGAUCAUUGGAAGGAUGCUCCUUUUCUUUAUGGACUAGGUCUUGUGUACUUUCAUUUUAAUGCCUACCAGUGGUCAAUCAAAGCAUUUCGACAAGUUCUGUACAUUGACCCAAGUUUUAUACGUGCAAAUGAAAUACACCUUAGACUUGGGUUAAUGUUUAAAGUUAUAGCUGAUCAUGAAUCAUCUUUAAAGCAUUUACGGUUAGCAUAUAUUGAUUCAAGUCCCUGCACAUUUUCCAAAGCAGAAAUUAGUUUUCAUAUUGCCCAUUCAUACGAGAUUCAGGGCAAAUAUAAAAUUGCAAAAGAAGCCUAUGAAAAAAUACUAGAACAGAAGGAUAUUCCUCAACACCUUCGAGCUGAGACUUGGAAACAAUUAGGCUGGAUGCAUCAUACAGUUGAAGCUCUUGGAGAAAAACCUCAACGUCAAGCAUAUGCCUUACAUUGUCUUCAGAAGUCCAUUGAGGCAGAUUCAUCAUGUGGUCAGAGCUUGUAUUUUCUGGGUCGGUGCUUUGCCAGUAUUGGGAAGGUUCAUGAUGCUUUUCUUUCGUAUCGGAAAUCUGUGGAUAAAGCUGAACCUAAUGCUGAUACUUGGUGCUCAAUAGGGGUGCUCUAUCAACAACAGAACCAGCCAAUGGAUGCUCUUCAGGCCUACAUCUGUGCAGUUCAAUUGGACAAAGAACACACUCCAGCCUGGACAAAUCUGGGAAUCCUCUAUGAAAAUUGUAACCAACCUCAGGAUGCUCUCAAGUGUUAUGUUAAUGCUGGCAGAGGAAGAGGGUCUCUCAACCACAAUUUGAUAGCACGAAUACAGUUUCUCCGAACCCAGCUAGCUAAUAUUCCACAAACUGGCUUGCAUAAACCCAACCAGCUGCCUUGCAUUGAAGAUGCAUGGAACAUUCCAAUAUCUCAGGAAAUGGCAUCUCGGCAAACUAAUGCUCAACAGCAGGUCAGGAUGGCAGCAGCACCACAUCAAAAACAGCCUGUUUGUGCUGCUUCAACUCUCUCAAUUUCUUCACAAUUAUCUCAAACUCAACCAUCAGCACCUGGAACUUUUUCUCAGAAUGGUGUUGUAGUAAUUCCUGGUUCCCAGACUGAUCAGCAAAGUGGAUUGUCUGCCAAAAGGGUAAAGCUGAGCUCUGGUUCACCCCGAAAUAUGGAAAACAUGACUCCCCAGCAAAGAGCAAUUUUUCAGCAGUUACAGCAUCAACAACGUCUGAUGCAACUGCAGGAUCAAAAGCAACAACAGACAUUGCUGUUGCAACAUGGGCAGCAGGCACCUACAGGCCAGCCACCUGUUGCCAUGCCUGGAGUUCUUGGGCCUCAGAAUGCUGGAAUAGUCACAACCUUGACAGGAAUCCUUGGACCUCAGACUGCUGGGACAGUCACAACCAUGCCCCAGGGAAUACCUGCUGCUGGUUAUCUACCACAACCAGCUACUCUCUCAGGAGUAACAAACACUGUAGUACGUCCAAUAAGGACAGUGGCCCCCAAUUCUUCCCAGUUUAUUCCCCAGCAAAGCUUGUCUUCACGGCUUGAAGGAGCUAAUGAGAGAACUUUACUUAGUGGAUACCCUCAGGAUCCACAGACUGUUGACACAGGCUUGACUAUUGGCUCUAUCCAGCCAAAUGUCUCCUCAAACCAUUUACUUACUAAAGCAGCAACUCCACAGACUACAGAAUCAUCCACUGUAAAUCCUACUGUACAAAUUUCCCAGUCUUCUGUUCCAACGGGAUUCCAGGCUCAGUACCAGUCUAGGCCAAGUUUGGGAGCCACCCAGAAUGGUACAUUAUUAAGUGGUGGCAUCUCCAUGACUACUGAUUCCUUCAGUGACCAAGAUCUUGAAGCUCUUCUUUCUCAAAAAGAGGUCAGCCUACCAGAUGAUCUUCUUACUGAGAUAGCUGGGGAUAUAUCAGCUAGUGUUAAUCAAACCACAGAGAGUUCAUAUCUUCCAAUCUCUAGUCAGGCUGCAGUUCUUGGAGCUGAAACACAAGUCCAUCUCCAAAAACUUGAAGCUGAUGGUAACAGAGUUUCUAGUUUUGUAAGUGCAGGAAACAUUUCUACACAGAAGGAUGUACCUAAAGGACAGAUUCAACCUGAAGUUUUACCAAUAGGAGCUGUAAAUGAGGCUUCACAACCUGUAAAAUCUACUCAGAUGCUUGGGUCUGAUGCUAAAGCCUCUAAAUGGUUGUCAUCCAGCAGUCUUCCAGCAUCUAGUUUGAAAGUGAAACAGUCACAAGAGACUGUGGAAGAAAAGUCUUCUCAUCAAAGUCCUACUUCCUUAUCUAUAAAUAUGAGCUCCUCUCAGUUACUCUCAGCAUGCAAAGGACUUUCCAAAAAUGGCGUGUCAAAUACAAGUAUCAUGUCUGAGCUUUGUCCUCCUCCAUCUCCUCCUGAUCCUCCUUAUCCACCAUUGUCCAAAGACAAGCUUUUACCUCAGACCCCAAGUGUUUAUUUGGAAAACAAGAAGGAUGCCUUUUCAUCACAGUUGCAAGAAUUCUGCCUUGUUCAUCCCAUAACUGUGAUUCGUAACUUAGCCAACGUGCUCAAGCUGGACUUGGGAUUGUUUUCUACCAAAACACUUGUUGAGGCUAAUCCAACUCAAAAUGUGGAAGUUAGAACACAGUUGGUUCAGCCAUCAGAUGAAAACUGGGAUACAGAGAGAAGGAGACAGAUUUGGAAAUGUGAGAGUCACCGGUCACAUACGACCAUAGCUAGAUAUGCACAGUACCAAGCUUCCUCUUUUCAGGAGUCUCUCAGGGAAGAACAAGAAAAGGUUCAAACUGGUCACAGGGAAUCUGACAGUGAUUCUAACUCCUCGUAUCCAUCAUGGGUUAAGAAAGGAAAGAAGAAUGGCUUAUUUAAGACAAUCAAAUUUGGAACAAAUGUUGACCUCUCAGAUGAGAAAAAAUGGAAACCACAGCUCCAGGAACUUGCAAAAUUGCCAUCAUUUGCUAGGGUUGUAUCAGCUGGAAACAUGCUGAGCCAUGUAGGUCACACGAUUUUGGGAAUGAACACAGUUCAAUUGUACAUGAAGGUCCCUGGAAGUCGAACACCAGGCCAUCAGGAAAAUAAUAAUUUUUGCUCUGUCAACAUUAAUAUUGGACCAGGUGAUUGUGAGUGGUUUGCUGUCCCAGAACCGUACUGGGGGGCCAUUCAUAACCUGUGUGAAAAAAACAACAUCAACUACCUCCAUGGGUCCUGGUGGCCUCUAAUGGAUGACCUUUUUGCUGAGAAUAUCCCUUUAUAUAGGUUUCUGCAGCGACCAGGAGACAUGGUGUGGGUCAAAGCCGGAACUGUACACUGGGUGCAAGCGGUGGGCUGGUGUAACAAUAUAGCCUGGAAUAUUGGCCCUUUGACUGCAGAACAGUAUCAGCUAGCUGUAGAAAGAUAUGAAUGGAACAAACUUCAGGGGUAUAAGUCAAUUGUACCCAUGGCUCAUCUCACUUGGAACCUGGCAAGGAAUAUUAAAGUCUCUGACCAAAAACUGUUUGAACAGAUUAAAUACUGUCUGCUGAGGACCCUUAGGAUGAGUCAACUGACAGUAGACUUUGUAAAGAGUUUAGGAAAAAACAUUAGAUGGCAUGGUCGUGGAAAGAAUGAAGCUGCUCACUACUGUGUGAAUUGUGAAGUUGAAGUCUUCAACAUCCUAUUUGUCAGAGAAGUGGAAAAUAAACAUGUUGUUCACUGCUUGGACUGUGCUCGGAAAACCAGCCCCAAACUGGAUAAUUUUGUAAUCUUAGAAGAAUAUACCAUGGAGGAUUUGAUGGAGGUAUAUGAUAAUUAUGUCCUCCAUCUGUUACCAGCAGUUUCCAGUGGGAUGUCGUGAUCUCAAGUUGCUUCAGAUGUUUCCGAUGAAAUAUACUAAGCUUAAGGAAAAGCAUUGUUCUGUAUUUGGAAGAAAAUUUCAUUAAAGAAGAGAAUAAAGAUACAGAAACUUGAUAUUCUGGUCGGUAACCACAAAGAUUAAUACAACUGCUUUAAACCAGAUCUGUAAUUAGAUUGUUGAUCCAAGUUUUUUGUUUUAUUGUAUACUUUAUGUAGUCUUUAUCGAUUUUAAAGUUAAAGAAAGCAUUAUUGAAUGAUGGAGGAUAAUAAAAGGCUUGUUUUAAAGUUGCAUUGCAUCGGAAAUGACAGGCCAUAAAUAGAGGUUUCUAUUGAACUUGUGGCCAGUUUUUCUCUUUGCACAACCUUGUUAUUUGUCAUAAAUUACUGCCAUAAUGAAUGUAUUAGACCAUUU
RNAcentral lists this unclassified non-coding RNA (4794 nucleotides) under Limulus polyphemus (Atlantic horseshoe crab). Its description in RNAcentral is "histone demethylase UTY-like, transcript variant X2". Lineage: Eukaryota; Metazoa; Arthropoda; Merostomata; Xiphosura; Limulidae. The record is from RNAcentral.